UACUGAGUGUGAACUUAUAAAUGGAG
RNAcentral lists this non-coding RNA (26 nucleotides) under Mus musculus (house mouse). Lineage: Eukaryota; Metazoa; Chordata; Mammalia; Rodentia; Muridae. The record is from RNAcentral.